RNAcentral lists this long non-coding RNA (224 nucleotides) under Elaeis guineensis (African oil palm). RNAcentral's name for it is "long non-coding RNA (EGUI_LNC017973)". The record is from RNAcentral. Lineage: Eukaryota; Viridiplantae; Streptophyta; Magnoliopsida; Arecales; Arecaceae.
UGGGAUUGUGUAUGCUCGGAGGAUCUUGCAUGUGGAUUAUAUUAUUAUUGAGGAUGAUUCUAUCAUGGUGAUAUCCUGCAUUCAAGGAUAUAUGCAAGGAGCUAUUACACAUCAUAUGCGAUAUCUCUAUUUUGUUAUCUAGAUGUGCAGGUCUUCCUAUCAAGCACAUCUUUUGAGAGGCUAACACUGUAGUUAACUAAAUUGUAGCUUAUAUUGCGGAGCAC